UCAGCAGCCGCGGUAAAACGUAGGAGGCGAGCGUUAUCCGGAUUUACUGGGCGUAAAGCGCGCGCAGGCGGCUUCGUGAGUCGGACGUGAAAGCUCCUGGCUUAACUGGGAGAGGUCGUUCGAUACUGCGAGGCUUGAGGUUGGGAGAGGGGUGCGGAAUUCCCGGUGUAGUGGUGGAAUGCGUAGAUAUCGGGAGGAACACCAGUGGCGAAGGCGGCACCCUGGCCCACACCUGACGCUGAGGUGCGAAAGCGUGGGUAGCAAACAGGAUUAGAUACCCUGGUAGUCCACGCCGUAAACGAUGUCAACUAGGUGUCGGUAGUGUUACACUAGCGGUGCCGUAGCUAACGCGUUAAGUUGACCGCCUGGGGACUACGGCCGCAAGGCUAAAACUCAAAGGAAUUGACGGGGGCCCGCACA
RNAcentral lists this ribosomal RNA (420 nucleotides) under uncultured bacterium. Its description in RNAcentral is "bacterial SSU rRNA". It matches the Rfam family "Bacterial small subunit ribosomal RNA", at positions 508 to 927 of the family's 1533-position model. The record is from RNAcentral.